ACACCUACCACGGAAUUUGUAAAGUAAAUCUUUUCGUUAUUGCCUUUUAUUUUAUAUAAAAGAUGAGUUCAAAUGAAAAUAGCAUUAAACUCCGAUUAAGCCAUGACUGAAAAAGUUCUACACGUGCUUUUGUUCAUUCUGUCCCUGAGUGCCGUUGGGAGGGCGUCCGAAAAUAUAAUAGAUCCUAUAAUUUGUCCAGCCUGUGUUGCCGAAUUUUGUCCUUACAAUGAAGCACAAGGUAUUCAAUGAUGUCCUCCGUGUUUUUGCGAUAAUCCAUGCAGGCACCAUGUAUGUCCUGAAAAUGAAAUAAGCGUUGGCGAGGAACUGCCGUGCCCCAGGUAUCCAUGUGGACAAAAAUGCCGCUGUGUUUGUGGAUUAAAAUGCCGUUACGGUUACGAAACUGAGUGUGGAGGGACACGUCAAAUUUGCAAAUGUCGAGAUCCAUGUCGUGAUGUAGUGUGCCCUUUUGGUCUAUUGUGUCAAGUGGAAGAGCCAAACUGCACAGAAAAUCUGUGUCCAGAACCUCGCCCUGUGUGUUCGAGCCUUUUACUACAAUGAUGACCAUGGCAACAGUAAUUGCUUAAUGCUUCACAAGAAUCAUGUAACAGGCGAUCAAAAAUGAGUUGCGGUAGAAUCGCCUUUCGAAGUUCAAUUUCCCAUGUAAACAAAAAUUCCAGCAACUCAUUUUUGAUCGCAUAGUAUUAGGCACUGAGGCAGUAAGUCCAACCAGCCACCUUACUGAUAAGACUUUAUGUAUA
Molecule: long non-coding RNA, 758 nt
Organism: Photinus pyralis (common eastern firefly)
Lineage: Eukaryota; Metazoa; Arthropoda; Insecta; Coleoptera; Lampyridae
Exons: 5
Source: RefSeq, a predicted model, not a curated record